UGGGGAAUAUUGCACAAUGGGCGCAAGCCUGAUGCAGCCAUGCCGCGUGUAUGAAGAAGGCCUUCGGGUUGUAAAGUACUUUCAGCGGGGAGGAAGGGAGUAAAGUUAAUACCUUUGCUCAUUGACGUUACCCGCAGAAGAAGCACCGGCUAACUCCGUGCCAGCAGCCGCGGUAAUACGGAGGGUGCAAGCGUUAAUCGGAAUUACUGGGCGUAAAGCGCACGCAAGCUGUUUGUUAAGUCAGAUGUGAAAUCCCCGGGCUCAACCUGGGAACUGCAUCUGAUACUGGCAAGCUUGAGUCUCGUAGAGGGGGGUAGAAUUCCAGGUGUAGCGGUGAAAUGCGUAGAGAUCUGGAGGAAUACCGGUGGCGAAGGCGGCCCCCUGGACGAAGACUGACGCUCAGGUGCGAAAGCGUGGGGAGCAAACA
Molecule: ribosomal RNA, 427 nt
Filed under: uncultured bacterium
Lineage: Bacteria
Description: partial 16S ribosomal RNA
Rfam family: Bacterial small subunit ribosomal RNA
Source: RNAcentral